AUGCUUAACACAUGCAAGUCGAACGGAAACGACACUAACAAUCUUUCGGGUGCGUUAAUGGGCGUCGAGCGGCGGACGGGUGAGUAAUGCCUAGGAAAUUGCCUUGAUGUGGGGGAUAACCAUUGGAAACGAUGGCUAAUACCGCAUAGUGCCUACGGGCCAAAGAGGGGGAUCUUCGGACCUCUCGCGUCAAGAUAUGCCUAGGUGGGAUUAGCUAGUUGGUGAGGUAAUGGCUCACCAAGGCGACGAUCCCUAGCUGGUCUGAGAGGAUGAUCAGCCACACUGGAACUGAGACACGGUCCAGACUCCUACGGGAGGCAGCAGUGGGGAAUAUUGCACAAUGGGCGAAAGCCUGAUGCAGCCAUGCCGCGUGUAUGAAGAAGGCCUUCGGGUUGUAAAGUACUUUCAGUUGUGAGGAAGGGGGUAACGUUAAUAGCGUUAUCUCUUGACGUUAGCAACAGAAGAAGCACCGGCUAACUCCGUGCCAGCAGCCGCGGUAAUACGGAGGGUGCGAGCGUUAAUCGGAAUUACUGGGCGUAAAGCGCAUGCAGGUGGUUCAUUAAGUCAGAUGUGAAAGCCCGGGGCUCAACCUCGGAACUGCAUUUGAAACUGGUGAACUAGAGUGUUGUAGAGGGGGGUAGAAUUUCAGGUGUAGCGGUGAAAUGCGUAGAGAUCUGAAGGAACACCAGUGG
Molecule: ribosomal RNA, 692 nt
Filed under: uncultured bacterium
Lineage: Bacteria
Description: bacterial SSU rRNA
Rfam family: Bacterial small subunit ribosomal RNA
Source: RNAcentral